This 382-nucleotide ribosomal RNA is filed under the name uncultured eukaryote. RNAcentral's name for it is "partial 18S ribosomal RNA". It matches the Rfam family "Eukaryotic small subunit ribosomal RNA", at positions 592 to 975 of the family's 1831-position model. The record is from RNAcentral.
CAAUAGCGUAUAUUUAAGUUGUUGCAGUUAAAAAGCUCGUAGUCGGAUUUCUGGUGGGAGCGAUCGGUCUGGCGCUUAGCGCGAGUACUUGCAUCGUCUCCGGCCAUCCUUGGGGAGAGUCUGUCUGGCAUUAGGUUGUCGGGCAGAGGAUCCUCAUCGUUUACUGUGAAAAAAUUAGAGUGUUCAAAGCAGGCUUAUGCCGUUGAAUAUAUUAGCAUGGAAUAAUAAGAUAGGACUUUGGUACUAUUUUGUUGGUUUGCGCACCAAAGUAAUGAUUAAUAGGGACAGUUGGGGGUAUUCGUAUUCCGUUGUCAGAGGUGAAAUUCUUGGAUUUACGGAAGACGAACUACUGCGAAAGCAUUUACCAAGGAUGUUUUCAUUA